CUCUUUCUUUAAUUUAUUGUUGAAGUAGGGAGAGAAGGCAGUACAGGGUGGAGGAAAAAAGUGUAGGUACUGUGUUGUUGAUACCUUCGUAAACUUAAUAAUAUAACAUUGCAUAAAAACCUUAGAAACAAUGCUCUAACAAAUAAACAAUAGUAGACGGUAGCAACUGACGAAUCCAAUCUGUAGUUUACUAUGGAAAUAUAUAGUAUUUUAAUUAUGGAGUAAGAAAUUUGUAUAUUAUGUGGAUAGGAAAUUGAUUAUUUAAAGAGUGGUGAAAAAUCUGAAGUUUAAUAGUUUGAACCAUAGAAAGUAAACAUAACACAGCAACACUUUCAAUAACAAACAUACACUGACAUACAUAACCUGAACCUGACUCUUGAUACAUAUGAAAAUUAACAAUAUUAUUCAACGAUAUAAUUAGGAAUCUUUUGUAAGUUUGAAAAUAUUAUAAGAAAUAUAUAUAUUCAUCCUUUCCAAGUGUGUAUAAGAAUUUAAAGUUGGUGGAGUUAUAACAAUUUUAAUACUCAACAAUAAAAUAUGAAUUUACUUAAAAAUUCUUAAUUUAUAUUGUGACAAAUCUUUCCUGGAGAUUAUUUGCAGUUCAAAUGUCUUAGGAUGUAUGUUGGCACAGAUCACACCCAAAAGUUCAAAAAUGAUUUAAUUAAGUCCAGUAGUUGUUUCAAAAUUUAUAUCGUUCAUAAAUCAAAUGAUUUCAAAGUGAGUUAAAAAUUAGAGAGUUUAAUAUCAAAUUAAAUUCUAUUUUAAAUAGAAUUACACGGCUUUAGUUCAGCGGGAGUACGAUUAUCUUAAAAGUAGGACUUCUGGGUGUCUAAGUAGAAUUACUUCUCUUUAUAUUAUGUUAUAUAUACAAUCUAAUUGAAGUUCAGUUUUAUCAACUUUUGCCACAAUAUAGUUUGUUUGGCUAGAAAUCUCACGUAUUUAUAAGCAUGUAAGCAAAUUUAUACUGGCCGCUUAAGCCUUGAACAAUGGCGACACUGCUUAAUUAUGGCGUCCCUAGCUAAGCAAUUAUUAAAUUGGCUUAUACUUGGCAUAACUGCUUUAAAUCCAAGUAAAUAUUACUUACAGUUCGUUAAGAUAUUUAGUUGUAACAAUUUCAUUAAUGUACACAACCGACGAUACCCUAAACUCAUAUUUUUAAUAAUUUUAAUUGUUCAGGCGUCAGGCCUUAGCCUACACGUAGUAACGCCAAAAAUCACAGUUUUUUAAAUUACUUCCUGUUCCUGUGUGGCUGAGAUACGUGUAUACACAAUAUAUAUGUUUCAUAACAUCCUUUCAUGGCCUUUGGUUACAACAAUACGGUAAGGAACUAGAAUAAAAUUAAUUGAAUUUACAAAUUAAACAGAUGGUCAGAAUAAAAAAUAGACGGUAAAAAAAUUAACGAAAAUUACAACAAUGCAGAUGAAAAAAAAAAAAAUAUUAAUAUUAUUAAAGUUCCACAGAUGAAAAGUUUAUGGUUGUAAUAAGGCGAAAUAUUUACUAAACAUUCAUAGCAGAUAUCUUAAUAAACACGAAGAUGUCUGUGCUAUUACCAUGUAAUAGUACAGAUGCUGUCCCAUGGGAUAAUCAUAAAACGAAGCGAGCACAAAGCAUAAGAUCGCCGGUUUAUUAUUAACCCAUCUGUCUCUCUCACACACAGCAGGUGCGACCGUUACUCGAAGCGACGGUUGAGAAUUGGCAAGGAGGUGGGGGUUGGGUGGCGCGCUAAUCAGCGAUCAACCGGCGGCCGAGGCGUGGCGUGACUGUUCAGUCUCGUGUCAGCCGUCUCGCAGUAGACACCUCGCUGCUUCGCGCUCCGGAAAUGGCGCGAAAACUCCGUCGUCUCGUAGUCGUGCUGUUGAUAGGGUGUUGGGAUGGUGAAGAACAUCAAGCAGGAACAUAGCACUGCGUCGUGGUGUGCUGCCACACACCUGGGCAGGCGAUAACGAUACCUCCACGCCACCGCAGGGGGGUGUCGGCUACUGAUCACGGCAACAGGAUGUACCGUGUCGGGUGACCUGCGUUCGUGAGAACUAGUGGCUGACAGUGGCGGGUCCUGACGAUGUCCGCUACAGUGCCGGGCUCGGCUCUCCAGGUGGCCCGCGGGCUGUCCCAGCCCUUGACCAGGGAUGGUAUCAACGGGGAAUAGACGGAGGUCUCAUGCUGACGCAGCUGUGUCAGCAUACGUGGCGUCAACCUAAUGUCUAGUAGGAGCGAGGCCAGCUCCGUCAUCGCACCGCUAAGUAUAUUUCCGUGUUCUACACUCGUGGUUAUUUCCGCACUAUGCACACGACAGGUGUGUAUCUAGUAUAUCGCGUUUCCAUAACUCACUUUAACAGUAAACAUAACAAUGUUCUGUGCUGACUGGUUGCUGCUUGAAGUCGCUCUCACAGUAGGAUUGGUGUAAAUAACCAGGAAAGAUUUAAUCACUUUUACGAAAAUUAAUUUCUUAAUCAAAAAAAAAUUAUAUUCGUUACGAGAAAUAGGAAAUUGUUUAAAGAAAAUAAAUUCUAGUUGUCAUUAUUGACGUAUUAAUAAUAUACUAUACAUUGCAACAAUAAGAUAAAAUCUUAUUAAUUAUUCAACAUCAAAGUAAUGCUAUAAUUGUGGAUUAUCAUAGGAACACAAUAUUUACACAAUUGUACUGCUAGUUUACUUAUUGGUUGACUAGUCUGUCAGUGGUAUAACCUUAUAUUAGUUUUCUGGUUUUGUUUACAACUUGUAAUUACCAUAUCAAUAAUUAUCAGUGUUGAUUUACACCAUUUUUUUUUUUUUUUAUAAU
Molecule: long non-coding RNA, 2779 nt
Organism: Bacillus rossius redtenbacheri
Lineage: Eukaryota; Metazoa; Arthropoda; Insecta; Phasmatodea; Bacillidae
Exons: 2
Source: RefSeq, a predicted model, not a curated record